RNAcentral lists this ribosomal RNA (253 nucleotides) under uncultured prokaryote. RNAcentral's name for it is "partial 16S ribosomal RNA". It matches the Rfam family "Bacterial small subunit ribosomal RNA", at positions 525 to 777 of the family's 1533-position model. The record is from RNAcentral.
ACGAACCGUGCGAACGUUAUUCGGAAUCACUGGGCUUAAAGCGCGUGUAGGCGGAUGGGUGCGUCGGAACCUGAAAGCCCCCGGCUCAACCGGGGAAGUGGGGCCGAAACGACCCGUCUGGAGGGACGUAGGGGGAUCUGGAACUUCCGGUGGAGCGGUGAAAUGCGUAGAGAUCUGGAGGAACACCGGUGGUGUAACGGCUUUCUGGACCAUAACUGACGCUGAGGCACGAAAGCGUGGGUAGCAAACAGGA